Molecule: long non-coding RNA, 278 nt
Filed under: Elaeis guineensis (African oil palm)
Lineage: Eukaryota; Viridiplantae; Streptophyta; Magnoliopsida; Arecales; Arecaceae
Description: long non-coding RNA (EGUI_LNC076503)
Source: RNAcentral
GCAUGGAUUUAAAUCUACACGCCAAGAGAGAGACUCUUAGGCAUGUGGUUCCCUAGUUUUUGGCACCCAACAGCAAGCCCAAUUAAAACACUUCAAACCCAUUUCAAGACCAAAUCCAAUUUGGCUUAAAUUGGUUCUAAAUUAGCCCAAAUCGAAACCCGAUUCGAAUUCGAUUCGAAUCUAAAUGCUAGGGUUUGCAACAUGUGCUAGCAUGUUCAACUUGCAAAUAUGGUUUAAUCAAAUUAAAUCCAUGAUCAAUUCUCUUUGUGUGUGACCCA